This 582-nucleotide long non-coding RNA is filed under the name Malus domestica (apple). RNAcentral describes it as "long non-coding RNA (MDOM_LNC009668)". The record is from RNAcentral. Lineage: Eukaryota; Viridiplantae; Streptophyta; Magnoliopsida; Rosales; Rosaceae.
UAAAAAAACCCCAGAGUUGAGUAUUAACACUACAAUUGUAUAUUGUGAAUACCUUUCAAUUCCCCAUACAAAAGGCUAAGCCGAACACAAGUGAUUAUCCAGAGAAGAAUUAUACAGGAACUGCCUUCUAUUUAUACACCCGAAAGCUUAACAGAGACUCCAAUGUAUAAGGAAAACAAAUAUAUCAUCAUCAUGAGACCUGCUCCGUGUUCCUACCUCCAUGAUUAUCCGCACUCGCCAUAGAAAAUUUGUAAAUGGAAGAAAUUAUCAAAGCCCUUCCUACAGAUAAUGACCAUUUUAGAGUGCAGCGACAAACCGAGGAGUCAAAAGUAGUCCAAACAGAUUCCAAAGAUUCAAACCCAUGAACAAAACGCAUGAACAAAACCCAUGAACAAAGAAAUCAAUACUCUGUACACUAAAUCAAUACUCUGUACAAAACCCAUGAACAAAACGCAAAACCCAUUAUCCAAAACACAACCAAAAAUCUAAUCUGCAGAAUCGAAAAGUAAUCGAAAUGAAAGAAGAGGUGGAAGGAAAUCGCAGCUUACCAGAGAGAGAGUGGUGGAGUUCAGUAAAGUUUUU